AAACCUAAAAUAAAGAUGAAAAACAGAAGAAACAUAAAAUGACACCAAGGCAUAUUAUAAUCAAAUUGCUUAAAACCAACGAUAAAGAGAAAAUCUGAAAAGCAGCCAGACAGAAAAAACACAUUAUACAGAGGAAAAGAUUCAUAAACUGAAGACCGAUAGCAAAAUGAUGUUCAGUUAAGCAAAUUCAACAUGUCUGAACCUUCAUAAAUUCGCCCCCAGUGAUGCUGUCCUGCAGUGUGAUCCUGGCCUCGGGAGACGUCUGUCCCCAGCAGAGCUAAUCACCUUUACUCUUUGGGUGAAAUUGAAACUGAUAAUAUUUUGAUGUCAACGCAUCUCAUUCAAGAGCUGAGCUGUGAAAUCCUACGAAGCCAUGGCAGGGUGUAGCUUUCUGAGGUUAUCCAAUCCUAUCUGGUGACCGAUCCAGGAAAAGAGGAAAUGAAGCUGGCCCUCCUGUGUGGCUUGGGGAGAACCUAGAUAGAGCCUCAGAUCCUGGGCAUCGAUAUUCCACAUGGAUCCUGUUUGUACCUCUUGUAUUCACACCGGGGAAACUGCAAAGGGAAGACUGCUAAGUAAUGGCAUUUUGGCUGUCCCUGCUUCUCCAGGCAAGCUUUUGGAAUAUUCUGAAUAAGAGCUGGAGAGUCAAAGAAAGAGAAAACAAAGCCCCUUUCUAUCUCCCAUACUUUUCCUUCCUGCAGGAAAAGGGACACAGUACCAUGCAGUUGAACACCAUGUCAAGUGAGGAUAAAGGAAAACAGCCAUGACAUCACUCCAUUACUGCCACCCCCAGUGUGCCUCACAGGCCCUGCAAUUUAUAAUCUUGUUUAAUCCUCCAAGCAACCGAGGAAUACAGAUAUCAUCGCCCCUGCUGUACAGAUAAGGAAGCAGAGGCUCAUUGGGGUCCAGGAGCAUGCCUGUGGACAAAUAGCUCCUAAAUGACAUUGAGUUUUAAACCCAAUCUCCAAAAAGCCUGUAUGUUUUGAGCGCCUAUGAUGUGUCAUCAGACAGUGAGGCAGGUACUUGGGAUACAAUCAGAUAAAUGGCAGAGAACCUAUCCAAGAAGCCCACAAGCUGGAAGCGAAUACAAGAAACGCCAUCACUCAUAGCCAUGACAAUUACUGAGUGCCUGUCACAUGCCUGGCAUUGUUCCCAUUCAUGACUUCAGUUCAGCCUCCCACCAGCCCACUGACCAAGGCACUAUUUUCCAUGAUGUCUUCACUUUCUGACUUUAAAACCCAGACUCUUCACCAUUAGAUCAUGUGCCUGAGAUCAAUGGCAAGAGAUGAAAGCCUGGCCAAAGCACUGUGUUAAUAAAGUAGGCUGAUUAUACAGUUUACUACAAGUAGAAGGAAUUGCCACAAACUGGUACUUCUGGAGCAGUGUUCAGGAAGAAGGCAGGAACUGCAGCUGAAUCUAGUAAUAAGACACGAUGAUGAUGAUGAUGAUGACAGCAAUGACAACAGCAACAACAAAAAUAGAGGCUGGGUGUGGUGGCUCAUGCUUGUAAUUCCAGCACUCUGGGAGGCAGAGGCAGGAGGAUCGCUUGAGCCCAGGAGUCUGAGACCAGUCUGGGCAACACGGCAAGACCCCAUCCCUACAAAAAAUUUUAAAAUUAGCUGGACAUGGUGGCAUGUAUCUGCAGUCCCAGCUACUCAGGGGGCUAGGGUAGCAGGAUCACUUGAGCCCAAGAAGUAGAGGCUACAGUGAGGUAUGAUCACACCACUGCACUCCAGCUUGGGCAACAGACGAAGACUCU
This 1756-nucleotide long non-coding RNA is filed under the name Homo sapiens (human). RNAcentral's name for it is "HSALNT0384599". The record is from RNAcentral. Lineage: Eukaryota; Metazoa; Chordata; Mammalia; Primates; Hominidae.